UUGUGCUAAGGUAGCAUAAUCAUUUGUCUUUUAAUUAAAGACUAGAACAAAAGAUUUAACAAUUCAAUAAAUAUAUAAAAUUAAUUAUACUAAUUUAUUUUAAAUGUAAAAAAACAUUUAUAACAUAAGAAGACGACAAGACCCUAUUAAACUUAACUGAAGUUAAACUGGGGCAGUUAAUAAAUCAUUAUUUUAAUAAAAAUAUAACAAAAAAAGAUCCAAUAAAAAUGAAUAUAUGAUCAAGUUACUAUAGGGAUAACAGCGUAAUAUUUAUCUAAAGAUCUUAUUUAAAUAAAAGAUUGCGACCUCGAUGUUGAAUUAAUAACCUAAAUUAUUGCAGCAAAUAAAUAAAGGUAGUC
This 359-nucleotide ribosomal RNA is filed under the name Sanogasta maculosa cf. skottsbergi MJR2018. RNAcentral describes it as "partial 16S ribosomal RNA". The record is from RNAcentral. Lineage: Eukaryota; Metazoa; Arthropoda; Arachnida; Araneae; Anyphaenidae.